UGCCAGCAGCCCCGGUAAUACGGAGGGGGUUAGCGUUGUUCGGAAUUACUGGGCGUAAAGCGCACGUAGGCGGAUUAGUAAGUUAGAGGUGAAAUCCCAGGGCUUAACUCUGGAACUGCCAUCAAAACUUUUCAGCUAGAGUUUGAUAGAGGAAAGCAGAAUUUCUAGUGUAGAGGUGAAAUUCGUAGAUAUUUGGAGGAACACCAGUGGCGAAGGCGGCUCACUGGCUCGAUACUGACGCGGAGGUGCGAAAGUGCGGGGAGCAAACAGGAUUAGAUA
RNAcentral lists this ribosomal RNA (279 nucleotides) under uncultured bacterium. RNAcentral describes it as "partial 16S ribosomal RNA". It matches the Rfam family "Bacterial small subunit ribosomal RNA", at positions 506 to 784 of the family's 1533-position model. The record is from RNAcentral.